UCUAUAAUGAGAUCUGGUACCCUAUUUU
This 28-nucleotide non-coding RNA is filed under the name Cricetulus griseus (Chinese hamster). Lineage: Eukaryota; Metazoa; Chordata; Mammalia; Rodentia; Cricetidae. The record is from RNAcentral.